CCAUUUUGUUUGGGUCCCGCCUCAAAGCGGGGCCGGGGCCUGAGGCGGGAAGGGCGCCCGCACCCCCUCUGCCGCCCCGUGGCCCACCCUUGCCGGUGAUAAACGCCUCCUCCUCGCAACCACAGUAAAGGUAAAGCCAUUGGCCUUUGGAAGGAGCGUUGAGGAAAAAUUGGAGACGGGUUCUGGAAAGGCGCAUGCGCAGAAAGAAGCCCUCCUAAGGCCUUGGAUUCAAGACUUCCUCAGGUGCUGUGCUGUGCUCAAGGCAACAGUCUUGGACGGCAGUGGCUCACAAAGUGACCCAUUUAAGGUGGAACCAGGUGUCAAACAGAGAUGUGUUAUUGCCCAAACCUUAUUUUCCAUCUUCAUCGCUAUGAUACUUCACUUUGUUGAUGGGAAGCUUCCCACCGGUGUGGAAAUCCUCUUAUCGGAUAUAGCAAGCUAUUUAACCGCAGCAGACUGAAAGCCAAAACCAAAGUCACAACAACGUCUGCUAUAGAACUCCAAUAUGCCGAUGAUAACGUAGUCUGUGCGCAUUCAGAAAAAGAUCUACAAGCCACUCUAUAAACACCUUCGCAGAAGCAUACGAGAAGCUUGGCCUCUCAUUGAACAUCGAGAAAACCAAAUUGCUCUUCCAGGAGGCACCAGCCAAUCCCGCUGUAAGGCCAGAAAUACAGCUUAAUGGUGUAACAUUAGAAAAUGUGGACCCUUUCCGCUCCCUUGGGAGCCACCUCUCCACAAAAGUCAGCAUUGACACUGAAAUACAACACCGCCUGAGCUCUGCUUUGCGAGUGCAGCAUUCUUUCAAAUGAAGCGGAGAGUGAUUGAGGAUCCAGACAUCUGAGGAUGAUGGUCCUCCUAGUGUAGUGACUUCGUGGUGGAGGCGUAGGUGGCUGUGGAGGCCUAUUCUUGACCCGCAUGUUCUUCCGCAGUGAAGACAUCGGUUUCCAGAUGGAAGGCGGUCCCGGUCAGGGUUGGCUUAACCGCGCCUUCUUUUUGGCAUGCUCUCCAUUCGUGCUUCUUCGAAUUCUGCAGCACUGCUGGUCACAGCUGACCUCCAGUUAGAGCGCUCAAUGGCCAGGGCUUCCCAGUUCUCAGUGUCUAUGCUACAGUGUCUUUAAAUCUCUUUUCCUGCCCACCAACAUUACGUUUCCCUUUCUUGAGUUGGGAGUAUAGCAAAUGCUUUGGGAGACGGUGAUCGGGUCUUUGAACAACAUGGCCAGUCCAGCGGAGUUGAUGGCAUAGGAACAUUGCUUCAAUGCUGGUGGUCUUUGGUUCUUCCAGCAUGCUGACAUUUGUCAGGCAGGUUCUGCGCUUAGGCCCUGGAUUCAAGACUUCCUCCUUGUGAGGAAAAAGCCUCAAGUUGACUGUAUUCCAGGUAAAGGCCUCACUUUUUCAUCAUCACAGGACCGGCCUUUGGGAGUCCAUGUAAUCUAUAUAGUAAAAACAUAUUUAUAAAUAUUUAUUUAUUUGGGAAAUGUCUGUAUCACCUUUCUCAAACAGACUAAAGUCAGUUUACAUAUAUGUGAAUCUGAGCUUACAAAAACAUGGUUUCUUGGUUGUGUUUCACUGCGAAAUAUUUUAAAAGAAGAAUAAAUUUCUGCAGAAACGUUUCCCCAACAUUUUAUAGGCCGUUAUUUUGGUGUCAACCAAAAUGACGACCAAAUUGAGGCCUCCCUACUUUGGACAUAUUACUACACGAAAUGACUUCUUGAACAUCAUAGAAGAUUGCACUGCAGCUGGUUAGAUUCAAUCAUAGGAACCGUGGCUGCUGAAUCUGAGCAGAACUGUUCUGCUGUCUUCCAUAUAGAGCAAAUAAUGACAACUGUUGAUAAACUAUUGUCAUUUAAUAACAAUGACAACUAUUAAAAUUGUGAUGGACAUUUUGUGACAUCAGUUCAGGCAGUGGCUGAAGUGAAAUUAAUCCUCCCCAUUUGGGAUAGAUUUUGGAAGGUGAUUUAUAGCAGCUCAACCAGAAAAUGUGACAAAACCAGUCACUAAAAACCAGUAACAGUGAAAAUUGCAUGUUUUGUAUGGCCUGCAGAUCAAACUACAAGGUACAGUUGAAGCUGGGUAAUAGUGACCACUGGCCGGAGCACAUCCAAAUUAGAAGGAUGAAGCCAUUCUGAUAGCUGUCAGUUCAAAGGAAAGCUGAAAGAAAUCAAAAGACAUCCAGUUCCAGACAACAGCCCAACCCCUUAUGGAAGCCCACUAAUCACCGGAGCUCAGGUGCGCCCAAUUUGUUAUUCGCACUCUUUGGUGCCAAUGGAAAGAAGGAGGAAGAGCGGGACGGAGGGGGAGACUUUGCCUGGCACAGACAGAUGCGCCCGGAUCCAGAAAUGACAGUUCUGCCCCUCCGGAGGUACGAUCACUACAGAAGAAUCUAGUACAGCCUCCAGGUGAAAUGUCUGGUGUUCCAUAUGGAGCAGAGAAAAUUAACAACAAGAUGGAAAUCUCGCAAGCAGCAGGGAGCUAGGGUUUUUUUCCCCCUUCCCCUGUUUGGAAAAAAAAAUGAAAUUUAAAGAUGAAGAAGGAGAAGUAAUAAAUUAAUGGGGUGUGAAAACAUUCAAAGCUUUACAAUACCAGGGGCACUAUUUGCUCAGAUUUUUUUUUUGAAGGGAGCGCAGGGAGGGGGCUUAUAGCAUCCUCUCUCCCAAACUUCAAGUCAUUUUGAUGUAAUUUAUUAACAAAGAUCUGUAAGUGUAUCCAAAAAAAUUAAAAUAAACCAGGGGAGAAGGGGUUUUAGUCAGACUCGGGAGGACUAGUUUAAAUACAUUUCUGAGUCGUCUAGUUGUCAAGAGGCACAGCGUUGCCUCGACAGACUUUCUGGGGAGUCAAUUCGGCCCCCAGUUUGGAAGAUUUUGGGCAGGAAAAGAUACAGCUUUGACAAGGGCAAGUCGUGGUCUUUCUCUGCAAUUUUCACAACAGUAAAACAUGCCACUGACUUCUGUUACUGCUUUGAUUUAAGCGGGACAAAUUUCAAGAAGAAAUUUUAUAGCUAUCGACUUCUCAUGACUCUAAAGAGUUUCAGCUUGUAACCCAAUGCCCUUCAGAUAUUGUCCUUCAGAAUCAGAAGAUGGUGCAAAAUUUAAGAUGACGUACCGCUUCUAUAAUACAUAUAGACUUCCCUGUUUACUGGUAAGAUAUGUUUUGUCUUCAUAUUGUUUCAUGUUGAUUUAUUGUCAACAGGAAAAGAUAUUAUUGUCAUGAAACACAUGCGGACAUUACAGGUUUUGUUCCACUUCUAGUAACGUUUGCACAUAUAACAGGAACAUCUCUGAGAAAAUGCGCUGGGCCUUCAUGCUUUUCCCUUCAGAACAAUUCUGAAUUGUAAAAACCUGACAUCUUCCUGAAGACUAUUUUAAAAGAGCAAAUGAAUGAAGAUUGGCACCAUUAGAGCUUAAUAAAAACAUCAAGCAAACCA
This is a long non-coding RNA of Anolis carolinensis (green anole), 3421 nucleotides long. RefSeq lists it as uncharacterized. The transcript is spliced from 3 exons. The record is from RefSeq and is a predicted model, not a curated record. Lineage: Eukaryota; Metazoa; Chordata; Lepidosauria; Squamata; Anolidae.